Molecule: long non-coding RNA, 207 nt
Organism: Octopus sinensis (East Asian common octopus)
Lineage: Eukaryota; Metazoa; Mollusca; Cephalopoda; Octopoda; Octopodidae
Exons: 3
Source: RefSeq, a predicted model, not a curated record
CCAAAAAGGUACUAAAUUUAGUUAACUUAUACCUACUUAAUAACUGUAAUUUCAUCCUCAUGCAACUUCACAAUUUACUUUCAUUCUUGCGUAAUUGUUUUCACGACUCUCUUCUAUUUCACAAACACGGUUCCACUUGAUCCUACUGUAUCACUACAAUUUCAUCCAUAUGUAACUUUACAAUUCUAGCUUUAAAGCAUUUCCACU